ACAUGGGUUCCAAAAGAUACCAUCUGUCUUCUCUGAGGCUGCACUAGAGACAUAGUUAGGAUUGAGUUAAGAAUUCAGUCUGUCCCAUACAGUCCCAUGAGAUACAAAUUGAACUAAUUAUAAGAAGUAGUUGAGAGAGAAAGAUGACAAGCACUUUUUCCAAGUGUGGUACUAUUGUUCACAGUUAUUCUGUCUCCUCUCCCAGAAGGAUUGUAUACCCUCACCUGCUGAACUCAGGAGGAGAAGAAUGACAUCCCACUCUUUGAGAUGAAAGGACCUCAAGAAGACAGUCCCAAGAAAGCCAUGUUCAGUUAAGGCAGGGUGAGGGCAUGAGGAGCUCACUUACCAUGACGUGGGCAUUCCAGAAGGCAUGGUGAAUGAAGUUGGCCAGGAGACAACAGUUGGGGGUGGUAGGGAAGGCAGGGGGUGGCAAGAGAUGGGGAAGAACGAGCAGUAUUAGGGUGAGAGCCUGGAAGGAACUCAUAUUUCAACCAAAAAAAUAGGUAUCAGAGCCCUGGGGGGAUUGAGCGGCCUUGAUCUAACUGCAUCUGGUCUCUGCUAGGACAAGGCAGUUUCCAUGUGUGAUGUAAGCUCAGGCUCUGGCCCUGGGUGGUAAUCCAGGCUGCAGGGUAGGGAGGGAGGUUGGGGAGAGGGAUUGUCAGGUUGUUUGCACCCAGUUCAGCAGCCUACAUCCUUUGCUCUCACCUUUGAGUAGAAUUGAUUUAAAUAGAAUCCAAUUUGUUAGGAGACUGUGAAGUUCAUUUCUGGCUAGAGAAGUACACAAUACCCAAGAAAAAACGGUGUUGAAGUAUUGUAUCUUCGGAAGGCCGUUUCCAGGCACUCUUGAGUACUUGGGAAUGAGGCCUAAGUGCUAACUCUUACCAAGCCUUUGUUCAUAAGAACAAGUUAGUAUCGGGGAUUAAGUGGAUUGGGGUUCAGAUGGAUUUAAAAAGUGGGAAAGACUGAGGGUCCAGGCUUCAGUUUUGCUGGAGAUUAAUACCAGAGAAGAGACAUGGAGGAAAUUGAGGCACAAAAACUUGCCCAAAAUCACACAGGUUGUAAAUGGCAGAGUAGUGUUCAGACCUAGCUCAGUUGAGUAACACAGGGCUUUCACCCUGGUAUUCCCCCAUUGAGCCUUGACAGACCAAUAGAUGAAUACACUGGACUGUAAGAAUAUACAAUCCCAGUGUUACCAGAAUAAUACUUUCAGAUACUUUGUAUGAUUUUAUUUAGAGGAGCCAAGAUACAGUGCCUGACUGUAGCUAUGUCUCAGGUUGUCUUCCCAGGGCUCAUGGACAGGCAGCAGCUUCCAUGAACAGUAUGAGAAGGCCAGGUUAGGCGCAGCAGGAAAUAGUUCGGUGACCCAUGAGUCAAGUCUGCCAUGGGCUCAGGGGUGUGGAAUGAGAGACUGCCAUGGGUUUGCUAACCCUGGCAGUCUCGGGAUUGGGGGCUGGGUUCUUGUCUAGCUCAGUGCUUCACCCUGGCCUCAGAUAGGGUCAGCUGGAGAGCUCUAAAAAGUGUCAGUAACUCAGGCCUUAGGCCCAGAAAAUCUGAUUCAUUUUUCUGCAGCGAGACCCAAGCAUUGGUACUUUUCAACAACUCUCCCACUUAUUCUAGCGUAGUACAGCCAGGGUUACAAUCCACUAACAGCAAUAAGACCUUGGGCAUAUCAUUUUCCUCUCUGGGCUUUAGUAUCCUCACCUAUUACAAAACAAUUAUCUAAAAGAGCUUACUGCCUGUAUAAAAAUAUUAGGUUAUACUAAGUGAUUUUUAAUGUCCCUCCCAGAAUUAAAGUUCCAUGAAUCUCUUUUCAUAAUGUAAUCGUUCAGAAAUAAUUAUUUCAUUUAGGGUUGAGUGCGUAUUGUGAUCAGUGUUUCUCUUAGUCCCCUAGAAACAGUCAGUGCCAACUUCAAGGUUUGAGUUCCCUAAUGACCAAUUCACUUUACAUAGAAAAGAAUAACAGCCUCCAAAGGUUGACAAUACAAAUUCUUCCCAUUAGGAGAAGUAUCUUAGAGCGUGUGGCCCUCUAGAAAGUGAGUCAUUGGCACCAUCUUCCAUUGGAAAGAGCAGCACUUAUUAGCAAUGUUAGGUAGAAAGCAGGACUCUAGAAAGUGGAUGGAAAACAAUAGAGAAACUACGUAACGUAGAAGCCAUUUUAAGUUCUUAGAGUCAAGUAAAAUUGACAUUCACAGGUAUGUAGGGAAAAUUGUAAAAGAUCUGCUCUCAAAGAAUAUAAUGCUUAAUCCUUACAUAAUUUUUUGAGGGAUGGGGGAUUAGACAAGAGUUUGAAGGCACAGAUAAUGUGUGCACUCAUGAUGCUCAGCACCACGUCCUCAGCAAAGGAGCUCCAGGCCACUUCUUGCCUUUGCCCCUGUUAAUAAGCAGAGUCUCAGCCAGGCCCGGUGGCUCAAGCCUAUAAUCCCAGCACUUUGGGAGGCCGAGACGGGCGGAUCACGAGGUCAGGAGAUCGAGAUCAUCCCGGCUAACCCGGUGAAACCCCGUCUCUACUAAAAAAUACAAAGAAAAAAAAAAAAAAAAAA
Long non-coding RNA from Macaca fascicularis (crab-eating macaque), 2540 nucleotides. NCBI's taxonomy places the organism in Eukaryota, Metazoa, Chordata, Mammalia, Primates, Cercopithecidae. The record is from Ensembl.